GGGCCCUCUCUUUUUGAAUAUUCGCCCUCUCCAAAUGAACCUGAAGUCCUUCUAAAUUAGCCCUCAGGGCCUCAUACUGGCGCUCGACCUCCUCCUUCUGGCUUAUAGCCUCAUCCCUCUCAUGAAGGGUCUCCACCAUGGAGGACAGCUGCCUCAAAACUUCUUCACUUCGAACCUCUACCGCAGCCGCCCUCUCAUCAGACUCCUUGAGAACCCUGCGAGUAUG
Molecule: long non-coding RNA, 226 nt
Filed under: Manihot esculenta (cassava)
Lineage: Eukaryota; Viridiplantae; Streptophyta; Magnoliopsida; Malpighiales; Euphorbiaceae
Description: long non-coding RNA (MESC_LNC004151)
Source: RNAcentral